This 468-nucleotide ribosomal RNA is filed under the name uncultured bacterium. Its description in RNAcentral is "partial 16S ribosomal RNA". It matches the Rfam family "Bacterial small subunit ribosomal RNA", at positions 28 to 507 of the family's 1533-position model. The record is from RNAcentral.
GACGAACGCUGGCGGCGUGCUUAACACAUGCAAGUCGAACGGCAGCGCCCUGCUUUUGUGGGGUGCUCGUGUCGCGAGCGGGUGAGUAACAUGACGGUAACCUGACCUUGCUUUUGGGAUAAGUUCAGGAAACUGGGUCUAUUCUCGUAUCGGAGAUUCUGCUACAUGGUGUGGGUUGGAAUGUUUAGGCGGUUGGGGAUGGACUCGCGGCUUAUUAGAUUGUUGGUGAGGUAGUGGCUUAGCACGGCAUUGCCGGGUUGCCUGCCUGAGAGGGGGACCGGCCACAUGGGGACUGAGAUACGGCCCAGAGUCCUACGGGAGACAGCAGUGGGGAAUAUUGCACAAUGGGCGGAAGCCGGAUGCAGCAACGCCGCGUGCGGGAUGACGGCCUGCGGGUGGAAGACCGCUAUCGCCUGUAACGGAACGUGAGUGACGGUAAUGUGUAAAGAAGCACCGGCUAACUACGUG